AUAAAUGUCUUGUCAUUUGUCAAGUCAAGUCAAGACUUAAACCUUUAUUUGUUUUAGUGAUUUUUAAUUUGAGUUUAGUCUCUUUUUUGUAAUUAAUUUAUUGUGAUUAAAACUAUGAUUAACAGUCUACUUGGAAUGACUCUUAUUUGGAUUUAAUGAAGUCACUGUUCGCUGGAUAAUUAACGAGUCUUGUUUGAUGGUGAAUCAGUUAUAUCUGGAGAGAUUGAGUUUUAACUUGUGUUGAAGAUGGUAUAAGAUUGAUUUGCUUAAUCUGUCAAUAUUAAUGGUAAAAUGGAAUCUGGUUCAAUUAAUCAAAUGAAAUGUGAUUAAAGUGACAAAUUAAAUUAAACAUGCAACAUUUACUUGGAUGUGCUUUGGAUUCACCUGAUUCACUGGGAACAUUGAAAAUCAAAGGAGUUUACUUUUUCACCUCUGGAUUUAACGUUAAUCUUUUGAUGUUUCAUUACUUUCAAUGUAAAUUAUUUCACCUGUAAAUCGAUGGACCGAGAGGUUGAUUGAAAAUCAUGGGCAACAUUCUUGGUGACAAGAUGGUAAAGGUGUGCUUUUGACUGUCAGUAAAUAUAAGAUGAGGAUGGAAACAGGGAGGAAAGGAGAUAAAAGAAGGUGAAAAUUGUGUUGUUGAAUCAAAUCAAAGGGAGUAAAUCUGUUGAUUCUUGAAAGAUGAAACGCAAAAGAUUUGAAGCAUUUUGUUGGAUGAUGAUAAAAGACCUAAAAAACUGGAAACAAGUGAAAUUGAUUCUCACUCCUGUCAUUUAUAUUCACUGUAAUAAGAAUCAUUCUUUCUUCCUUGAUGGCUUACAAAGUAAUGGAGAUGAUAAUAAGCGAGUUAAUUCACUUGAAGAGGAACUGGGAAUUAUUAUUCAAUAAUAAUGCUCACAAUUAUUUGCUUGAAAUAAAUGAAAAAAAAAGAGGAACCAUUUUCUGCAGCUGAAUAAUGCAAACUUGUAUUGUUAUACAUUGGAUCUACAUUGGAUUUAAUAUAUCGGAUUUACGCUGUCUGUUUGUACAAAAGUGAAGCCAACAAUUGAUUUCGUGAUUUACUCAUUUCUGGUCGUCAUUAUGAUUACCUCCAUAGGAUUCAUUAUUGAAAAUUGAUUGUAAAUGAUCUGGAUCAUAGUCAUCAAGAACACUGUGCACUUAAACUUCAUUAUCUAUUCAUAUUCUCACUUGUUGUGUUGAUGAAAUCUUAUUAACACAGCAAUUGAAAAUUGAAAGAUUAAUUAUUGGGUUUAGUGUCAUUUAAAUUAUUAAUUUACAUGUGAAUCUUCAAUUUAACUUCAACUUGAAAUGGUUAAGCAUGUUUAAACUCUUUGGCAGACAAAGCAUUGUUAAAGUGAUUCUCAAUCGAUUCCAUUAUGCUAAUCAAUUUUCAAAUGUGAUCCACUUUUUUUUGUCUUGCUCAUUCAAUUUGGAGUAUUUGUUUGUAAUUUUAUUUACAUUUUUCAUUUCCAUGCAAAUAUUCAUAAUAAUAUCAUGAAAUGCACAUUAUAAUCAUCACGAUUUCAAGCUGAUUAACAUUAAACAUAUUUUUUAAUGCCAAGUCACCUUUAGUUAUUUAUUAUUUAUCAAUACAACAUUUGAAAUAGACAAUGUUUUCAAGUCUUUUUCAUAUAAAAGUAUUUAUAAAUUGAUAUUGAUUAGAAACAAAUAAAAGUUAAUUUUACUUGAAUUACAUAAAUAUGUUUACAAUUUAUUGUUUUCAAUGAAACAAAUGAUUGAAAUACAUGUAAAGGCAAUUUCAUAUGAAAUAGUAAUUUAUCAGGAAAACGUAACAUUUUGAACUCUUUUCAUUUCAAAGUAUUUUUGAUUAGAUUUGUUAGAAGUAUUGUUAGUAAAUUGUUUCAAGCUUGUUUCCUUGUGAUUCAAACAUUUUCAAUUCUAACAGUCAUUUUAAUCUGAUUUUGCCUGAGGAUCUUUCUUUACCUUCAAGUGAAACAAUCAAAGAGUACAAACUGUUUCUGACUGAGUCCAAUUGUUGAAGUUUAAUUUCAAGUAAAGAAUCUAUUUUUCAAAUUAAAAGGUUUCCUUCCAUGUUUUAGGUACACUAUUCAAUAUGAGGGAAAAAAGGAACAAUUGGAAGUAAUCUUAUUGAAAUUAAUCAAGAUGAAAUAAGAUGAAAUAUAUUAAAAGAUGAUGAUGAGGAAAAAAAACUCGAACAAUUUGAUGACAAAGGAAAAAUUUCUGUGUACAUUCAACAAGCCCUAGUCUAAUCAAUUUUGCAUGAGUUACAUUGAGAUGGGAAAAUUGUGUUCAUAUCUUAAAGCGAAAUUGUUUUUUACGCUUGUUUUUGCUAUUUCAUGUAUUAAUAGAGAUGAGCUUAACCAUGGCAAUGCAUUAGGCUGAUAUGAUUGCUAGGAGUGACAAUUGUUUGAGCAUUGGAAAGGUUUUAAGCAGUGGGUUAUGAUAA
Molecule: long non-coding RNA, 2428 nt
Organism: Tetranychus urticae (two-spotted spider mite)
Lineage: Eukaryota; Metazoa; Arthropoda; Arachnida; Trombidiformes; Tetranychidae
Source: RefSeq, a predicted model, not a curated record